GCUUCCAAGCAGAGCCCGCUGAAUCAAAGUUGGGUUUCCGGAAGAUCACGGAGUUCAGUGAGCACUCAACCUCUAUCAGACAGACUGCAUGGGCAGUGCCUUCCUGGAGAGGAGAAAACAGCGGGAUGACUAUCCUUGACCAACCCCCACCUCCAAUAUGACAGUUUAUUUUCAAGGCUGUCAUCUCUGUGGCCUGCCUCCCCUUUUCCUUCACCCUGCCAGCUGCCUCUCAGUGACUGUCUCCUCCAGUGACUACACUGAGGCACCAGGGUCUGCUUGCCUCCCAAGGCUGCUCAGACCUUCUGACGUUGCAAAAUAAUUGUCAAAAGAUGGGUCUGCAAAGAGUAACUUCCCUUCCACUGAUCAAACCUGAAUAUGCAAGCUACUGUAAAUUAACUGGAAAAGUGGCCAUGUGGGCUGGUGCUUUGGUGGUUUAAUGAAUUAAGUCUGCAACCCCCA
This 459-nucleotide long non-coding RNA is filed under the name Pongo abelii (Sumatran orangutan). Its description in RNAcentral is "lincRNA". The record is from RNAcentral. Lineage: Eukaryota; Metazoa; Chordata; Mammalia; Primates; Hominidae.